ACUAGGAGACCUGGGGGCUUAAAGCAGAAGUCUCCAAACCUUUUUGAUUGCACACCCCUAUCAGUAAAAAUUUUUUGAGCAUGUACCCCUUGCUGCGCC
This is a non-coding RNA of Chelonoidis abingdonii (Abingdon island giant tortoise), 99 nucleotides long. Lineage: Eukaryota; Metazoa; Chordata; Testudines; Testudinidae. The record is from RefSeq and is a predicted model, not a curated record.